Ceratotherium simum simum (southern white rhinoceros) is the source of this 102-nucleotide non-coding RNA. The record is from RefSeq and is a predicted model, not a curated record. NCBI's taxonomy places the organism in Eukaryota, Metazoa, Chordata, Mammalia, Perissodactyla, Rhinocerotidae.
CCUAACUUUUAUGACUUGGGGGACACUUUUCUGGCUGCUGCUGGAAACUGUGUUCUCCAAAUUGUAAUUCUAAGACCCCAAAUAAACACUCUCCUUUGGUUU